CACAAAGAGUACAAAGUCAAGGCCAUGCCCUGUGAGUGUUUGUGCGCACACCUUAGUGGGCUCAGAAAGCCGGCCUCCUUCAUCUCUGCCUUCCCUGCUCUGAGGCCCUCGCCCAUCUGUGCCUUUGCAUCGCUCAUAAACACAAAUCCUUCAUUUGACCAACAGGAGCUGCUGCUCUUCUGAGCUUGACACGGACACUGAUGCCACCUGCCCAGCAGGGUGGGGCAAACAUGCAGAUCAGGC
This 243-nucleotide long non-coding RNA is filed under the name Capra hircus (goat). RNAcentral describes it as "lncRNA (ENSCHIG00000001479.1)". The record is from RNAcentral. Lineage: Eukaryota; Metazoa; Chordata; Mammalia; Artiodactyla; Bovidae.